GACGAAGGUGACGACCGUUGCUCGGAAUCACUGGGCAUAAAGCGCGCGUAGGUGGCUUGGUAAGUCCAUGGUGAAAUCCCUCGGCUUAACCGGGGAACUGCCUCUGAUACUGGAUGGCUUGAGAUUGGGAGAGGGAUGCGGAAUUCCAGGUGUAGCGGUGAAAUGCGUAGAUAUCUGGAGGAACACCGGUGGCGAAGGCGGCAUCCUGGACCAACACUGACGCUGAGGAGCGAAAGCCAGGGGAGCAAACGGG
This 253-nucleotide ribosomal RNA is filed under the name uncultured bacterium. Its description in RNAcentral is "partial 16S ribosomal RNA". It matches the Rfam family "Bacterial small subunit ribosomal RNA", at positions 524 to 776 of the family's 1533-position model. The record is from RNAcentral.